RNAcentral lists this ribosomal RNA (764 nucleotides) under uncultured Glomus. RNAcentral's name for it is "eukaryotic LSU rRNA". It matches the Rfam family "Eukaryotic large subunit ribosomal RNA", at positions 38 to 648 of the family's 3401-position model. The record is from RNAcentral. Lineage: Eukaryota; Fungi; Glomeromycota; Glomeromycetes; Glomerales; Glomeraceae.
GCAUAUCAAUAAGCGGAGGAAAAGAAAAUAACAAUGAUUCCCUUAGUAACUGCGAGUGAAGAGGGACAAGCUCAAAUUUUAAAUCUGUUAGGUUUACCUAAUCGAGUUGUAAUUUGUAGAAGCGUUUUCUGCGUAAUUUGACCAGUCCAAGUCCUAUUGAAUGAGGCAUCAUGGAGGGUGAUAAUCCCGUUCGAUUGAUCAUUGCGUUUUACGAUACGCUUUCAAAGAGUCAAGUUGUUUGGGAAUGCAGCUUAAAAUGGGAGGUAAAUUUCUCCUAAGGCUAAAUAACGGCGAGAGACCGAUAGUGAACAAGUACCGUGAGGGAAAGAUGAAAAGAACUUUGAAAAGAGAGUUAAAUAGUACGUGAAAUUGUUGAAAGGGAAACGAUUGAAGUCAGUCGUACCGGCGGAUAAUCAACCUUUCGGCGUGAUUAUGUGGAGCGUGAGGAGUUAAUCACUUUCAUGCCUGCAUAUUCGUGUAUUUUGGGUGUACUUAUCUGUAUGGUAGGUUAACAUCAAUUUUGGUCGUUAUAAAAUGACUGGGGAAAUGUGGCUUUGAUUUCGUAUUGAAGUGUUAUAGUCUCUGGUAGAUAUAGUGACCGGGAUUGAGGAUUGCAACGGAUACCCUUUCGGGGCUACUCGUCUGAUCUCUGAUCGUUACUCUGGUGCUGAAAGCUUGCUUACGGUUAUCAAAGUUGAUGGUUAAUAAGUUAGAACGGGUUUAAAUUCGUUUAAGGGAUGUUUGACGUAAUGGCUUUAAACGAC